Molecule: long non-coding RNA, 677 nt
Organism: Cavia porcellus (domestic guinea pig)
Lineage: Eukaryota; Metazoa; Chordata; Mammalia; Rodentia; Caviidae
Exons: 4
Source: RefSeq, a predicted model, not a curated record
GUUCCGGUCUGACUGACAUCAUGGCCCUCCUUCAACCCCAUUCUUACUUCCUGCCCUGUCGUUGCUCUGUAAAAUCGUGUGAUUCUAAUUCUCUUCCCCGCUGUCUGCCCUUCUAGAGUCUAGACUGCAGUUUUGGGCUGUUUCGUUGACUUCUGUGUUCCUUGUCCCAGGACAAGGCCUGGGAACAGUCUCAGUAAAUACAUGUGGAUCGAAUGAAUAAAUACAUGAACGACAGCUGUCCCUGCCCCACCCCCAGCCCUCGCGGAGGGACACAAAAUACAAAAUGUCUGGUUUCCGCGCGUGUUCUUGGCACUUGGCAACUGCUCUGAUUGUGUGGGAUUGAACCCAAGGCCCAGCGAAUGCAGGUAUCAAACUCAGGACCUUGCACUUGCCAGGCAGGCACUUGUGCCUUUGUGCUAUAUCCCAGGACAGAGACGGAUUCUAUGGCCUUGAGCUAGGGAGCCUCCUGUCUCAGCCUCCCUAGUGCUGAGAUUAUAGACCCACACCACUGCAUCCUAGUAUGGUAAUUUGUUUCUUUUUACUGCUGAGUAGUACUUGUUAUAUAAAUACACUGCAUCAUUUUAAAAAUUUAUUAUAUCACAUCUUACCUAUUCAUGUGCUGAUAGACAUUUGUUUCCAGAUCAUAAUUAUUUUGAAUAAAGUUGCUGUAAACAUUC